This 430-nucleotide ribosomal RNA is filed under the name uncultured bacterium. RNAcentral's name for it is "bacterial SSU rRNA". It matches the Rfam family "Bacterial small subunit ribosomal RNA", at positions 36 to 468 of the family's 1533-position model. The record is from RNAcentral.
UGACCUGGCGGUAGGCUCCCACAUGUGUAUCGAGCGCGAAAGCACUUCCGUGUGAUAAGAGCGGCGGACGGGUGAGUAACGCGUAAGAAUCUACCUAGUAGUGGGGGACAACUCGGGGAAACUCGAGCUAAUACCGCAUACGCCCUACGGGGGAAAGCGGGGGACCUUCGGGCCUCGUGCUAUUAGAUGAGCUUGCGUUGGAUUAGCUUGUUGGUGGGGUAAUGGCCCACCAAGGCGACGAUCCAUAGCUGGUCUGAGAGGAUGAUCAGCCACACCGGGACUGAGACACGGCCCGGACUCCUACGGGAGGCAGCAGUGGGGAAUAUUGCGCAAUGGGCGAAAGCCUGACGCAGCCAUGCCGCGUGUGUGAAGAAGGCCUUCGGGUUGUAAAGCACUUUCAAUUGGGAGGAAAGGUUCACGGCUAAUACCC